CUGAAUUUUUGAGUAUUUAUUUUGAGAAAACUGGAUUACUAUAAUUUAUGUUAAAUUGAACACGUUAAACUUAACUAUCAUUAUACUUUGCCUUUGUUGUCUUUAACCAUCCAAUUUCUAUGAGACUUAUUAAAGGUGUCAGCGGUACUAUUCCGUAAUUUUGAUAUAGUACAGCGUUACAAUCUAUUUACAUACCUCCAAGUGUGAUUACUUAAGUGUAACUAAAGUACAAUCACUGAUAAAAAAAUGAAAAAAGUUAAAAAUUAAUUACCUCGACUGCAUUCUUUAAGAGGAGAUCAUCUCGGGGAAUCCAUGGAGAAGAGGAAGCCAAAUUUGAAACCUUUCCGGCCAUCUAAAACCCUGUAUUCAUAUCAGUCACAUAUGUAUACUCUCUUUUUUCAUAUAAGCAAAAGGAUCAGUCUUUUGGUUAUAAUUCCUGUUACUGUUUGCUUUAAUCGUCAACAUCAGCCUAAACUCAUUCCAUCAACAAAAUCAAAAAGACCCCCGAUAAGGGAUAGGCACCACCUCAUCCUCAGCCUCUCUACGCUCAUCUUUCCAACUAUGAUUUUCGGGAUUCGUUGAUCGAUAUUUCCAUCGUCUCCAUCAUCCGAUCAGCCAUCAUAUUAUAGUCUGAAGCCUGUCCGGAUUUUUGGAAGAAGACCGGUUUUCUUUUCGGACAUUAAAGUUUUAUUGUCUAAAUUUCCCCGGUCAUCUUGCAUGUCCGACGGUUAGAUAAUAAGCUUUCUUGAAUGAAAGAAUUAUCACGGUGAAUUGCCGAGUCA
Long non-coding RNA from Daucus carota subsp. sativus, 782 nucleotides. RefSeq lists it as uncharacterized. NCBI's taxonomy places the organism in Eukaryota, Viridiplantae, Streptophyta, Magnoliopsida, Apiales, Apiaceae. The record is from RefSeq and is a predicted model, not a curated record. The transcript has 2 exons.